RNAcentral lists this ribosomal RNA (759 nucleotides) under Triticum aestivum (bread wheat). RNAcentral's name for it is "partial small subunit ribosomal RNA". The record is from RNAcentral. Lineage: Eukaryota; Viridiplantae; Streptophyta; Magnoliopsida; Poales; Poaceae.
AUGACCUUCGGCCAACAAGACAUCGCCUUCUCGCCGUACAACGCGAGCUGGCGCGAAUUGCGCAAGCUGUUCGUCUCAGAGCUCGUGGGGAGCAAACGCGUCCACACCUUCUCUCACGCACUAGAAGCUCAGGUCAGCGAGCUGAUCCAAUCCCUCUCACCGAUGACGGAGCCCGUCAACCUCAACGAGAUCCUCUUCACGCUCAUUGACAGCUUCAUCGGCACGGUGGCGUUCGGGAGCAUGAAAGGUGCCAAGCUCAUGAAGUACGCCAAGUUCCAGCGGGUGUUCAGCGAGGCCACGGUGGCCCUCUACGCCUUCUCCGCGCAGGACUUCUUCCCGGCGUCGCCCAUGAGCCGGUGGUUCGACAAGCUCGUCGGGCUGGAGAGGCGGUACCUCAGGACAUUCCUUGAGAUAGACUCCUACUUGGAGAUGGUGAUCAGCCAACAUAUGGAUCCUGGGAGGGUGAAGCCCGAGAAAGAUGACCUUGUGGAUGUGUUGAUCAGUCUUUGGAAGGACGAAGGCAAAGUCACAAAGGACCACGUCAAGGCUCUUCUAGGGGAUGCAUUUAUCGGUGGCACCGCGACGAGCUCGGUGACAUUGUUGUGGGCUAUGUCUGAGCUCAUCAAGAAUCCGACGGCGAUGAAGAAGGCACAGGCAGAGCUAAGGAGUUUGGUCGGCGGCAAACAGAGACUAGUGCAAGUCGACGACCUCUCUAAACUCAAGGGACAAACCAGAGGAGUUCUACCCGGAGAGGUUUGA